RNAcentral lists this small RNA (283 nucleotides) under Vigna angularis var. angularis. RNAcentral describes it as "Non-protein coding transcript". The record is from RNAcentral. Lineage: Eukaryota; Viridiplantae; Streptophyta; Magnoliopsida; Fabales; Fabaceae.
CUUCUCAACACAUUGUCAACAUCUGUAUUCAUUAAGUUCUCUUCAGGGCAUCUUUGAUCCUUGAUCAAGACGCACAACUCCAUGGGCACAUAAUUCAUCUUGUUGCCUCCACAACUUUCAAUCCGACAAGUAAAUCCUCAAAGAUCUGACGUCCAGGUUGAGAAGCAUGUGGUUCUAAAGAUUCCCCACGGGAAGAAGAAGAAGGAUUUAACUUCCGUUGCCACUAUUCUUUUGGCUGUGGUUGGGAAGGAGACCAGUGUUCAUUACCACCACUUAACUGGGG